Molecule: ribosomal RNA, 305 nt
Filed under: uncultured bacterium
Lineage: Bacteria
Description: bacterial SSU rRNA
Rfam family: Bacterial small subunit ribosomal RNA
Source: RNAcentral
UAGACCUACGGGACGCAGCAGUCGGGAAUAUUGCGCAAUGGAGGAAACUCUGACGCAGUGACGCCGCGUAUAGGAAGAAGGUUUUCGGAUUGUAAACUAUUGUCAUCAGGGAAGAUAAAAGACAGUACCUGAGGAGGAAGCUCCGGCUAACUAUGUGCCAGCAGCCGCGGUAAUACAUAGGGAGCAAGCGUUAUCCGGAUUUACUGGGUGUAAAGGGUGCGUAGGUGGCAGGGCAAGUCAGAUGUGAAAGCCCGGGGCUCAACCCCGGUACUGCAUUUGAAACUGUCCAGCUGGAGUGCAGGAGG